GAUGAACGCUGGCGGCGUGCCUAAUACAUGCAAGUCGAGCGAACGGACGAGAAGCUUGCUUCUCUGAUGUUAGCGGCGGACGGGUGAGUAACACGUGGAUAACCGACCUAUAAGACUGGGAUAACUUCGGGAAACCGGAGCUAAUACCGGAUAAUAUUUUGAACCGCAUGGUUCAAAAGUGAAAGACGGUCUUGCUGUCACUUAUAGAUGGAACCGCGCUGCAUUAGCUAGUUGGUAAGGUAACGGCUUACCAAGGCAACGAUGCAUAGCCGACCUGAGAGGGUGAUCGGCCACACUGGAACUGAGACACGGUCCAGACUCCUACGGGAGGCAGCAGUAGGGAAUCUUCCGCAAUGGGCGAAAGCCUGACGGAGCCACGCCGCGUGAGUGAUGAAGGUCUUCGGAUCGUAAAACUCUGUUAUUAGGGAGGAACAUAUGUGUAAGUAACUGUGCACAUCUUGACGGUACCUAAUCAGAAAGCCACGGCUAACUACGUG
RNAcentral lists this ribosomal RNA (497 nucleotides) under uncultured bacterium. RNAcentral describes it as "partial 16S ribosomal RNA". It matches the Rfam family "Bacterial small subunit ribosomal RNA", at positions 28 to 507 of the family's 1533-position model. The record is from RNAcentral.